GGACAGGUGGGUGAGCGGUUGAAACCGCCGGUCUCGAAAACCGGUAUGCCCGCAAGGGUAUCGAGGGUUCGAAUCCCUCCCUGUCCGUCA
RNAcentral lists this transfer RNA (90 nucleotides) under Gemmatimonadota bacterium. RNAcentral describes it as "Gemmatimonadetes bacterium tRNA-Ser". It matches the Rfam family "tRNA". From Rfam's summary of the family: Transfer RNA (tRNA) molecules are approximately 80 nucleotides in length. The record is from RNAcentral. Lineage: Bacteria; Pseudomonadati; Gemmatimonadota.